AGACCGAUAGCGAACAAGUAGAGUGAUCGAAAGAUGAAAAGCACUUUGAAAAGAGAGUUAAACAGCACGUGAAAUUGUUGAAAGGGAAGCGCUUGCGACCAGACUCGGCCUCGGGGUUCAGCCAGCAUUCGUGCUGGUGUACUUCCCCGGGGCCGGGCCAGCGUCGGUUCGGGCGGCCGGUCAAAGGCCCCAGGAAUGUAUCGUCCUCCGGGACGUCUUAUAGCCUGGGGUGCAAUGCGGCCAGCCUGGACCGAGGAACGCGCUUCGGCACGGACGCUGGCGUAAUGGUUGCAAACGACCCGUCUUGAAACACGGACCAAGACUC
Molecule: ribosomal RNA, 325 nt
Filed under: Aspergillus sp.
Lineage: Eukaryota; Fungi; Ascomycota; Eurotiomycetes; Eurotiales; Aspergillaceae
Description: partial large subunit ribosomal RNA
Rfam family: Eukaryotic large subunit ribosomal RNA
Source: RNAcentral